AUCGCUUCUCGGCCUUAUGGCUAAGAUCAAAGUGUAGCUUUGUAGCUUAACAUCUGAUAGAUCCUCCAUCGGAGGACAACAAAUGUUAAACUGAUUUUUGGAAAUGGGCGGAGUGUUUUAAAGGCUUGGUCGUCCACCUCUGCCACGGGUUGGCCCGGUAUUGCAGUACCGCCGCGAUUUCGGCCUUGAAUAA
This is a small nuclear RNA of Anastrepha obliqua, 193 nucleotides long. RefSeq annotates it as U2 spliceosomal RNA. The transcript has a single exon. Lineage: Eukaryota; Metazoa; Arthropoda; Insecta; Diptera; Tephritidae. The record is from RefSeq and is a predicted model, not a curated record.